AUUGAACGCUGGCGGCAUGCCUUACACAUGCAAGUCGAACGGCAGCACGGGUGCUUGCACCUGGUGGCGAGUGGCGAACGGGUGAGUAAUACAUCGGAACGUACCUUAUCGUGGGGGAUAACGCAGCGAAAGCUGUGCUAAUACCGCAUACGCCCUGAGGGGGAAAGCGGGGGAUCGAAAGACCUCGCGCGAUUAGAGCGGCCGAUGCCUGAUUAGCUUGUUGGUGGGGUAAAUGCCCACCAAGGCGACGAUCAGUAGCUGGUCUGAGAGGACGAUCAGCCACACUGGGACUGAGACACGGCCCAGACUCCUACGGGAGGCAGCAGUGGGGAAUUUUGGACAAUGGGGGCAACCCUGAUCCAGCAAUGCCGCGUGAGUGAAGAAGGCCUUCGGGUUGUAAAGCUCUUUUGUCAGGGAAGAAACACCGGCUCUAACACAGUCCAGGACUGACGGUACCUGAAGAAUAAGCACCGGCUAACUACGUGCCAGCCGCCGCAGUAA
Molecule: ribosomal RNA, 501 nt
Filed under: uncultured bacterium
Lineage: Bacteria
Description: partial 16S ribosomal RNA
Rfam family: Bacterial small subunit ribosomal RNA
Source: RNAcentral